RNAcentral lists this ribosomal RNA (468 nucleotides) under uncultured bacterium. RNAcentral describes it as "partial 16S ribosomal RNA". It matches the Rfam family "Bacterial small subunit ribosomal RNA", at positions 28 to 507 of the family's 1533-position model. The record is from RNAcentral.
GACGAACGCUGGCGGCGUGCUUAACACAUGCAAGUCGAACGGACAGGCCCUGCUUUUGUGGGGUGCUCGAUUGGCGAACGGGUGAGUAACACGUGAGUAACAUGCCCCUGACUUUGGGAUAACUUCAGGAAACUGGGGCUAAUACCGGAUAGAAGCUCCUGCUGCAUGGGGGGGGUUGGAAAGUUUCGGCGGUUGGGGAUGGACUCGCGGCUUAUCAGCUUGUUGGUGGGGUAGUGGCGUACCAAGGCUUUGACGGGUAGCCGGCCUGAGAGGGUGACCGGCCACCUUGGGCCUGCGGUACGGCCCAGACUCCUACGGGAGGCAGUAGUGGGGAAUAUUGCACAAUGGGCGGAAGCCUGAUGCAGCAACGCCGCGUGCGGGAUGACGGCCUUCGGGUUGUAAACCGCUUUCGCCUGUGACGAAGCGUGAGUGACGGUAAUGGGUAAAGAAGCACCGGCUAACUACGUG